RNAcentral lists this long non-coding RNA (683 nucleotides) under Nicotiana benthamiana. RNAcentral describes it as "long non-coding RNA (NBEN_LNC039391)". Lineage: Eukaryota; Viridiplantae; Streptophyta; Magnoliopsida; Solanales; Solanaceae. The record is from RNAcentral.
ACAAUAAUAUUUCAUAUUUAAUAUAUGUACUCUGCAGAACCUAAACAGUAAUUCAUCACAUAAUCUUCAAAUAGAAAAAAAGUAGCAGAAGGAGAAAAUACUUUAAACAUCACAGAUUGAAUAAACAUUUAAAACAUUCAAACCAUUCUACCAGUGACAUUCAUUAGCUUAUAUUUAUUCAUGAAAUUAGUCAAGAGUUACACAAAAUCUAGGAACGUACCUAAACUGCAAAAAACAGUAACGAAGAACAUCAUACACAAGUCGGAAAAAUCGGAGAGUAAUCAGCUAACUCAGAUACAACAGCUUCAACAAUGAACAACAGUGAUCUCGACCUUGACAAACCCUUAGAUGCCCAGAUUUUCAAAAGAAAACUACUCUGUUCUCGGCUUUCCAAUCCAAUUUUAGAAUUUUCGCUUCUUUCCUUUAACUUCUUCAGCCAGAUCUUCAAGGGCGUGCACGAAUAUGGGUUAAAAAAAAGAAAGAAGAAUGGGAGGGACAUGAGUUUUUGCUGCUUCUGAUUUUUUUUGUGAAGAAGAUCCGAAAAUGAAGGGGUUCCUCUUUUGGCAAAGCUGUGCAGCUUUAUUGUAUUAGAGUGUGAUUUGUAUAUUUGUGUAGAUAGUAUAAUAUGAGAUAGAGAUUAGCUUAGGGGUAUGGGCAUAUACGGGCUAGACAAUAAACUUGAG